RNAcentral lists this long non-coding RNA (651 nucleotides) under Heterocephalus glaber (naked mole-rat). RNAcentral's name for it is "lncRNA (ENSHGLG00000041987.1)". Lineage: Eukaryota; Metazoa; Chordata; Mammalia; Rodentia; Bathyergidae. The record is from RNAcentral.
CGCAGUCUCGCGAUAUCUGGCGCUCCGUGUGCCUUUUUUAUUUUUACUACGGCAGUGGUUGCGAAUUUUGUCGCCGGGCUCUGAGCUUUACGGGCGGCCGUGGGAGGUCCUCGGGUGGGCGUUGCCGUCUCAACUGUCAGCCUCCUUGGUGGCGGGACAAGAAGACCUCCCCUCUGUCUACGCCCCUGACUUGGAGAUGGGACAGAAGGAAGGGAAAGCGCAUUCUGGCCGCCUGCUGCCUGAGUUUGAGGAACACUGAAGCGUGGACGCGACCGGAUUUCUGGAGCGAUGCCACACGGUCACGUCAGUCUUGCCUGAGCGAGCCGCUAGUAAGGGUUCUGUGGAAAAUCCAUAUGUGACACUCAAUUGAAGAAGUCGGUUUAAAUCUAGCAGGUGGAAUGGAACUGCAGACCAGUUGCAAAAAUAAGAAUAUCUUCUAUUUUUGCAGAUUUACCAUCCUCAAUAGUCUACAAAAACACAAGGAAUGUUCUGUGAGUCACCAGACUUAUUUUCAUUCAUUCUACAAGCCUGAAUGUCCUUUCUCCCAUCUUCAUGUGUUGACAUCCUGUUCACACUCAGAGUUCUCCUUCAGCCCAUGAAGUUUCUCCUGAUUUCCCCCAAAUAAAUUCAACAUUCUCCUCUGUGUGCCUC